RNAcentral lists this ribosomal RNA (379 nucleotides) under Blastocystis hominis. RNAcentral describes it as "bacterial SSU rRNA". It matches the Rfam family "Eukaryotic small subunit ribosomal RNA", at positions 557 to 947 of the family's 1831-position model. Lineage: Eukaryota; Bigyra; Opalinata; Blastocystidae. The record is from RNAcentral.
AAGUCUGGUGCCAGCAGCCGCGGUAAUUCCAGCUCCAAUAGCGUAUAUUAACGUUGUUGCAGUUAAAAAGCUCGUAGUUGAAGUGAGGGAGUGUGUGUUCAUGAGAGCUAGUCUCGAGUGUUCACAACCUCCCCCCUCCAAUCGGUGUAGUGGGGUAUUCAGUUAUUCUACUACUCCUUUGGUCGUUUACUGUGAGAAAAUUAGAGUGUUCAAAGCGGGCGUUUGUUUGAAUAGAUUAGCAUGGAAUAAUGAUUGAAGGCUUUCGUGUUCGAUUUGAUUGGUUUGUUCAUGGAAGCAAGGUUAAAAGGAACAGUUGGGGGUAUUCAUAUUCACUAGUUAGAGGUGAAAUUCUCGGAUUUAUGGAAGAUGAACAAGUGCG